AGGUUAUUAGUUACAACUAUUAUUAUUUUGAUGUCUUUUUUUAACCGAGGCCAACCACUUUAUACUGUCAUCCAUGGAAGGGCUCUUAUUAACCGCCUCAGACGUUUGGGACCGAUGAUUCUUUGGCAGGAUACUUCGGAAAGUUCUUAAGUGGGGAUGGAACUAUCUUGAUUUGAUUUAAGUUGUGGAAAAAGAAGACAGAUUUGUGUUUUUCAUGCUGACAAAAAAUAGCUGCUAUGACUUUUCCGGCAACGUGGACAGGGGCCAAGUGAAGCUGAACUGGUCAUGGUCUGUCGUCCAGUGUUCCUUUGUCGUCGGCGAUUUUGCCCCCGGCCCUUCUUGGUGGGCUUGGUGGUGGCAAUCUGUCUCUUCUACCAGACCCUGACAUUCCGGGGGGCAAGGAAGCUCACAGCUGCUGUCCCUGAGGCUGCCCCAAACACACCCACCGAAACCCAGGCAAGCAGAUGCAAGGAAGGAUUCUCCCUGGACAAGCAGUGCUUACUUCUCUCCGAUAAGGCACAGGAAGUCAGAAAGAUCGAAGAGUCAAUUGAGAUCCACUUCGGCAGCCAUGGCAGAAAGGCUGUUCUCUACAGGCCUCCAUCCUCCAGCAAAAGGGAGCUUCAGCUCCACCAGCGCGUUCUCACUCAACAUCACUAUGCGGUUGUCGUCACUGAAGAAAGGCUCGGUGCCGAACCUGGGCUGGGGCUACUAGAAAAAGGUGAUUUGGGCUCUUGGGAUCUGCUCGUUUGCCUGUCUUCUGGGAAAGCUAGUGGAAAACCUUGCAUAUCCAAGGAAGACAUGUGCCAGUUAGGUUUACAUCAAAAGGUAAACAUAUUACCAGAAAUACAACAUCAACUUUGCAGAAAGGAAGGAUUAUGUCAACUAAUUAGAAGAUUUCCAGAAUUGCAACUUCCGGUGAGCCCCUCAGUGUGUCUGGAUCAGAGCAUACAAUUAAAGCUGAGUACUUCAAGUCACCUUUUAAAAACAGUGAAGUCAUAUAUGUGGAAACCAGGGGACUGGAGACAUGAACAGCUGAAUCAAACCACAGUCCUAGCUCCACAAGAAACACUCAUGAGAGCCAAAGAUUUAUCUGUAAUUCUUAAAGCGUAUGUGCUGGUGACAUCCUUAACUCCUCUGCGUGCAUUCAUUCAUUCGACUGGCACGGUUUGGAAUCCACCAAAGAAAAAACGCUUCACUGUCAAGCUGCAAACAUUUUUUGAGACGUUCCUGAGAACAAGUUCACCUCUUCAGGCUUUUGAUAACAUGAAGGAAGCAAUUAGCAAACUCCUGCUAGCAGCUGAAGUAUUCAGUGAAACAUCUACUCUGGGACCAAAGGUCUUCCAUAGAUGCAGAUUAUGUUUUCAACUUUUAACUUUUGAUAUUGGUUAUGGCAGUGUCAGGUCCCCUGUAGUGCUCCAGGUGCAUGAGCAUUUAAAUUUUCAAGAUGAUGAUAAUAUGGAUUUUGAGGACCAAAACACAGAAGAAUUCCUUUUAAAAGACACUUUCAAUUUUCUCCUGUCUAAUGAAUCUUCACUUUCCAUAUUUUCUGAGAUAUUUCAGAGACUUUAUAGAUCAGGUAUAUUUAAGGGUGAAAACUAUCAAAAAGAACUAAAUCAAUGCCUAUCUUUAGAGGAGAUUAACUCAGUUAUGACUUUCAUAAAGGAACUCAGGAGUUUGGGACAAUUCCAACUGCUCUUCCCAUCUACUACUCCUGGGUUUCAAUCUUUGAUGCGUGAAUUUUAUGAUAUGGCAAAUCCUGUGGGGAAACCUGGUUCCAUCCUGACCCAAUACUGGUCUCUUUUAAAUGUAUUUGAACAAUUUCAGCUCCUGCAUAAAAAGGCACAGCCACACCCGCUGGAAUGGAAUUCUUUCGCAGAGGAUGAGAACAUGAAAAAACCACAAGUACCAUUUAAUGCAAUUGAAAAUAAAAAAGCUGCAGUUCCACAAAUUAUUAAUGAAACCAAAGAAAUACAUUGCAUUAAUGAUAAAGAUGCACAAUGUCAUAUCAAGCAGAUCUUCACACAUCCGCAUUUGGAACUAAAUCCUGAAUUUAACUCAAAGAUCAAAGAUUAUUACUCUGAAGUCCCAUUUGAUGUGGUAACGCUGACAAUUGGAGCAGAGACUUCUAAGUGUCAGUGCAAGGUGUACCUGCAGGAACGGGCAGGACCAAGCUUUGCCAACUACCCUCUGGGCUUAGGGAUGAACAAAAUCUCGAUGCUUGUGGUGGAUGAAUCUCCAAUCCAAGGUGAGAUCCUGAUCACAUACAAACUCACCAUCUAUAGAGAAGACCGUCCAAGUCUGCCUUUGUUUGAGGACUUCACAGCAUGUGGUUUUGUGCAGGAUUGUGGUUUGCUGAUUCAACCAGAGGAAACCUGCGGGUUACAGCCUAUUUCUUCUGACUACAUUGAAGCCAUAUCACAGCCAGGACUAAAGACCUGUCCAUCUGGGGACACAAAAGGCCAGUGGAUCGUGCCUUGCCUUAGCUGUUCAGACAACAGGACCUGUGACUGGAGAGAAAUCACUUGGCAGCCUCACAACUGUCACUAUGGUGUCCUAGCUAAGCCUCAACUCCAGCAGUGCCUGGGAGGAAGGAAGAAAUAAAGGCUGAGAAGUCCAAGAUCAGGGUGCCAGCACAGUUGGGUUCUGGUGAGAGGCCGCUUCCUGGCUUCUGUUGGCUGCCUUUUUUGCUGUGUCCUCAUAAGUGAUGAAUGGAAGGCUAUACUUGGAAAUGGAGGCCCACCGGUGGGGAAGAAACAAAACACAGAUCAGUUGGGAUUUAAAAAGGCAUUCAAUUUUCCUGUAACUUUGACCAGGAAUGUCACUGCACUCAAUGGUGUGUAAGCAGGACCGAACUUUUUAUACCUCAGUCACUUGCCUUUACUUCAGUGAACAGGAGGCUGAUCUCUGCAGAAAGAUGGCACAGGGUUUCUCCUCAGAGCAUUUGUAUCACUUUCCAUGGCAUACUUGUUCGUGUCUGGAGGGCAGGUAAAUACGAGACCCCUUUUACUCUAAAUCUAUCCAAAUAUGAGUUAUUUCAUUUGUAAGCUGUUGUAGAUAUGUAUAGGUUUUGUGAUGUGCCAUCGUGUUGAAUCAAAGCAAAAUUCUUUGAAAAAGAACAAACUAUGUGUUCAGUUAUACUCUUGACAAAUGUCUCUAAAUAGAUACACACCUCUUACUUAAUAAACUUUGGUUGGAACAUUUAGAAAAAUUUAUCAGAGCAUAACUUUGUAAUCACAGUGCAAAAUACAUAGGAAAUAGUUUAGAAGUAGGGUAAUGAAAUUUACAACUGAAAGAACUUAGGAGGCUGACCAAAACUGAAUGAAACGAGCUUUUAUUUUGUUUGUCAGAAACAUAGUUCAACUGACAAACUCAGUAUUUUAUUACUCAGUAAUAAAAUAUCUGAGAGAAGAGUGCAAUUACGAAAGGAAAAUAUAAAAAGGCAAUAUUUACUGAAAGUAUUUAAACUCAGCUGUUAAAACAGGAAAUUAACUUGCAUUUUUACGCUGCUUGCAAGUUAAGUACUGUCUUGGACUUAAAGGUGUUUACAUAUUUGAAGUAUGCCCAAUUUAUAAUAAUAUGUUCUGACUAAUAUGUGAAUUCCAUUAUGGUUACACAAUUCAUUGUUGCUUGUCAGUUUCAAUAAAAAAGGGUAAACAGAAGAAAAGGAGUGUACCUGACUCUCACCAGGAAAGGAUGGCUUACACAUAAUGCCCACAAUCCAGAGAGAAGGGCAAAAUAGAUACAUACUUUUGUUGCAAGCAGUUAGAAGAUCUAUGUCUAGGCGAUAUUGUUCAGUUGUUUGUUUUUCUUUUCUGCCAAAUUUCAUGUGUUUUAGAGUGACUUGCCUACAUGUCAGUUUUCAUCUGUUCUUGACUCCAAAGGGCAAUUUGUUUGGUCCUCUAUAGCCAGUUUAAUCAAAUGCAUCAUUGAAAAAACAUUCGUUGCAAUCGUAUUACAUUUCACAGAGAGACGCUUUGAUGAGCUAGAUUUUCAUCAUGCCCUAAAUAUCAUUAGCCAUCUGAUCAGUCUCAGCUUCAUAUUAGAGCUGAAUCACCCUAUACCUCACUUAGAAUGGGAAGUUAUUUUAUGAGAGCAGUGGUGCUCAAUCAUGGGGCUCAUUGGAAUCACUGUGGAGCUUUCUAAAUGUAUGGACUAUGCUUGGCCCUGGACUAGAUGUAAUGAAUAGGACUCCUCCUCACCUCACUUUCAUUUCCUUUAUUUACCAAGAUGAGAGCUCUCCAGUAAGCAGGCAUUGUCUAGAUUAAUGGACAAGAAGCUACUGUGUAACUUCCCCUCUUGGAAGCUUCCAGUGGGUUCCUAUUAGCUGGCUGAGACCUGUGUUGGCAUCUCCAUGCACUUUGUUGUUCUGAAGAAAUAUCCCCAUCUCUGUGAAUAUUGAAGAUAGAACCUAUGCAAAGGGAAAGAAAGGAAGAUAGAAAAUUAUUUUAAAUCAAGGGGUUUUUUUUCCCGUGUCUAUUGAUUCUACAUAUACCCAGUUCUUUCCUAGCUUCAACAGAUCAGAAGAAUCUGAGAAGCUAACAAACUACCUUCAUAUUGACUCAACACAGAUAGCCCCCAUUGAUUCUCUUCAUUUCUUUAUAACUUGCUUUGCUAACUAUGUCCUUGUUACUUUGGGUGACUUUGGAGACAGGAGGUAAUGGAGUAAAAUAUUUACAUGUUAAGUAUCGUCAUCAUUAGUUCCCUUUAUUCAUGAUGAAAUAAAGUGGGAUGAAAAUUGUUUUAUCGUAUAUUUCAAUCAAAAGUUCCCAAAGUU
Non-coding RNA from Kogia breviceps (pygmy sperm whale), 4774 nucleotides. The record is from RefSeq and is a predicted model, not a curated record. Lineage: Eukaryota; Metazoa; Chordata; Mammalia; Artiodactyla; Physeteridae.